This 21-nucleotide unclassified non-coding RNA is filed under the name Mus musculus (house mouse). RNAcentral describes it as "oocyte_clustered_small_RNA6553". The record is from RNAcentral. Lineage: Eukaryota; Metazoa; Chordata; Mammalia; Rodentia; Muridae.
UUAAAUGUGAUCUUGGGUGGU